This 472-nucleotide ribosomal RNA is filed under the name uncultured bacterium. RNAcentral describes it as "bacterial SSU rRNA". It matches the Rfam family "Bacterial small subunit ribosomal RNA", at positions 355 to 825 of the family's 1533-position model. The record is from RNAcentral.
UGGGGAAUAUUGGACAAUGGGCGAAAGCCUGAUCCAGCGACGCCGCGUGUGUGAAGAAGGCCUGCGGGUUGUAAAGCACUUUCGAUGGGAACGAAAUGUGCCGGGUUAAUACCCCGGUAAGCUGACGUUACUCAAUGAAGAAGCACCGGCUAACUCUGUGCCAGCAGCCGCGGUAAUACAGAGGGUGCGAGCGUUAAUCGGAAUUACUGGGCGUAAAGCGCACGUAGGUGGCGACGUAAGUCGGGUGUGAAAGCCCCGGGCUCAACCUGGGAAUUGCAUUCGAGAUUGCAUUGCUGGAGUACGGAAGAGGAGGGCGGAAUUCCCGGUGUAGCGGUGAAAUGCGUAGAUAUCGGGAGGAACAUCAGUGGCGAAGGCGGCCCUCUGGUCCAGUACUGACACUCAAGUGCGAAAGCGUGGGGAGCAAACAGGAUUAGAUACCCGGGUAGUCCCUGAGCGGGCUGGCAAGGCGCAU